This 995-nucleotide ribosomal RNA is filed under the name uncultured bacterium. RNAcentral's name for it is "bacterial SSU rRNA". It matches the Rfam family "Bacterial small subunit ribosomal RNA", at positions 355 to 1375 of the family's 1533-position model. RNAcentral also lists the same sequence under 1 other name. The record is from RNAcentral.
UGGGGAAUAUUGCACAAUGGGGGAAACCCUGAUGCAGCGACGCCGCGUGGAGGAAGAAGGUCUUCGGAUUGUAAACUCCUGUUGUUGGGGAAGAUAAUGACGGUACCCAACAAGGAAGUGACGGCUAACUACGUGCCAGCAGCCGCGGUAAAACGUAGGUCACAAGCGUUGUCCGGAAUUACUGGGUGUAAAGGGAGCGCAGGCGGGAAGACAAGUUGGAAGUGAAAUCUAUGGGCUCAACCCAUAAACUGCUUUCAAAACUGUUUUUCUUGAGUAGUGCAGAGGUAGGCGGAAUUCCCGGUGUAGCGGUGGAAUGCGUAGAUAUCGGGAGGAACACCAGUGGCGAAGGCGGCCUACUGGGCACCAACUGACGCUGAGGCUCGAAAGUGUGGGUAGCAAACAGGAUUAGAUACCCUGGUAGUCCACACCGUAAACGAUGAUUACUAGGUGUUGGAGGAUUGACCCCUUCAGUGCCGCAGUUAACACAAUAAGUAAUCCACCUGGGGAGUACGACCGCAAGGUUGAAACUCAAAGGAAUUGACGGGGGCCCGCACAAGCAGUGGAGUAUGUGGUUUAAUUCGACGCAACGCGAAGAACCUUACCAAGUCUUGACAUCCCUUGACAGGCAUAGAAAUAUGUUUUCUCUUCGGAGCAAGGAGACAGGUGGUGCAUGGUUGUCGUCAGCUCGUGUCGUGAGAUGUUGGGUUAAGUCCCGCAACGAGCGCAACCCUUAUGGUCAGUUACUACGCAAGAGGACUCUGGCCAGACUGCCGUUGACAAAACGGAGGAAGGUGGGGAUGACGUCAAAUCAUCAUGCCCUUUAUGACUUGGGCUACACACGUACUACAAUGGCGUUAAACAAAGAGAAGCAAGACCGCGAGGUGGAGCAAAACUCAGAAACAACGUCCCAGUUCGGACUGCAGGCUGCAACUCGCCUGCACGAAGUCGGAAUUGCUAGUAAUCGUGGAUCAGCAUGCCACGGUGAAUACGUUCCC